CCUACGGGCGGCAGCAGUGAGGAAUAUUGGUCAAUGGGCGCGAGCCUGAACCAGCCAAGUCGCGUGAGGGAAGACGGUCCUAUGGAUUGUAAACCUCUUUUGUCGGGGAGCAAAGGCCGCCACGCGUGGCGUUCCGAGUGUACCCGAAGAAAAAGCAUCGGCUAACUCCGUGCCAGCAGCCGCGGUAAUACGGAGGAUGCGAGCGUUAUCCGGAUUUAUUGGGUUUAAAGGGUGCGCAGGCGGACAAUCAAGUCAGCGGUAAAAUUGCGAGGCUCAACCUCGUCGAGCCGUUGAAACUGGUUGUCUUGAGUGAGCGAGAAGUAUGCGGAAUGCGUGGUGUAGCGGUGAAAUGCAUAGAUAUCACGCAGAACUCCGAUUGCGAAGGCAGCAUACCGGCGCUCAACUGACGCUCAGGCACGAAAGUGUGGGUAUCGAACAGGAUUAGAUACCCGUGUAGUC
RNAcentral lists this ribosomal RNA (459 nucleotides) under uncultured bacterium. RNAcentral's name for it is "partial 16S ribosomal RNA". It matches the Rfam family "Bacterial small subunit ribosomal RNA", at positions 338 to 795 of the family's 1533-position model. The record is from RNAcentral.